UACGAAGGGGGCUAGCGUUGCUCGGAAUCACUGGGCUUAAAGGGUGCGUAGGCGGCGCAGUAAGUAGGGUGUGAAAUCCCUCGGCUUAACCGAGGAACUGCGCCCUAAACUACUGUGCUCGAGGGAGAUAGAGGUGAGCGGAACUUAGGGUGGAGCGGUGAAAUGCGUUGAUAUCCUAAGGAACACCGGUGGCGAAAGCGGCUCACUGGAUCUCUUCUGACGCUGAGGCACGAAAGCUAGGGUAGCGAACGGG
RNAcentral lists this ribosomal RNA (253 nucleotides) under uncultured bacterium. RNAcentral's name for it is "partial 16S ribosomal RNA". It matches the Rfam family "Bacterial small subunit ribosomal RNA", at positions 524 to 776 of the family's 1533-position model. The record is from RNAcentral.